RNAcentral lists this long non-coding RNA (329 nucleotides) under Mytilus galloprovincialis (Mediterranean mussel). Lineage: Eukaryota; Metazoa; Mollusca; Bivalvia; Mytilida; Mytilidae. The record is from RNAcentral.
CGUUUAUAAACUUAUGAGGAAGUUUGCAUAUAAUUAUCUAUAAUGGUUUUAAGCUUUCUAACUUGUAACGAAUGAUGCUCACUUCAGAAAACUGGCUUUAGAUUGAAUGUCUUAAAGUAAAAUUCUUAUUGUUACGUUGAUAGCAGAAUAAAGUGAGCAGAUACUCCAACAUUUCAAUAGUUCCUUAAAAUAUUUAAAAGGAAACUACAUAAAAACAAAAAUAUACGGUGUGGUGUAUAUGUCAAUGCGACACCAAGCAACCCAAUAACAAAAACAGCCUUUUAAUAUUAAUUGGGACGAAAGAAAAGAGGGGCAGCAUAAAUAAAAUA